Molecule: small nuclear RNA, 24 nt
Filed under: Brassica rapa (field mustard)
Lineage: Eukaryota; Viridiplantae; Streptophyta; Magnoliopsida; Brassicales; Brassicaceae
Description: S60-Smi snRNA
Source: RNAcentral
AUGUUUACGAGUAAAAUAGUUACA